GGGCGUAUAGCUCAGUAGUAGAGAGCAUGCUUAGCAUGCAUGUGGUCCUGGGUUCAACUCUCAGUGCCUGCA
Molecule: transfer RNA, 72 nt
Filed under: Camelus bactrianus (Bactrian camel)
Lineage: Eukaryota; Metazoa; Chordata; Mammalia; Artiodactyla; Camelidae
Also listed under: 1 other name
Rfam family: tRNA
About the family: Transfer RNA (tRNA) molecules are approximately 80 nucleotides in length. Their secondary structure includes four short double-helical elements and three loops (D, anti-codon, and T loops).
Source: Rfam by way of RNAcentral